RNAcentral lists this ribosomal RNA (468 nucleotides) under uncultured bacterium. RNAcentral describes it as "partial 16S ribosomal RNA". It matches the Rfam family "Bacterial small subunit ribosomal RNA", at positions 28 to 507 of the family's 1533-position model. The record is from RNAcentral.
GACGAACGCUGGCGGCGUGCUUAACACAUGCAAGUCGAACGGAAAGGCCCUGCUUUUGUGGGGUGCUCGAGUGGCGAACGGGUGAGUAACACGUGAGUAACCUGCCCUUGACUUUGGGAUAACUUCAGGAAACUGGGGCUAAUACCGGAUAGGAGCUCCUGCUGCAUGGUGUGGGUUGGAAAGUUUCGGUGGUUUGGGAUGGACUCGCGGCUUAUCAGCUUGUUGGUGGGGUAGUGGCUUACCAAGGCUUUGACGGGUAGCCGGCCUGAGAGGGUGACCGGCCACAUUGGGAAUGAGAUACGGCCCAGACUCCUACGGGAGGCAGCAGUGGGGAAUAUUGCACAAUGGGCGGAAGCCUGAUGCAGCAACGCCGCGUGCGGGAUGACGGCCUUCGGGUUUUAAACCGCUUUCGCCUGUGACGAAGCGUGAGUGACGGUAAUGGGUAAAGAAGCACCGGCUAACUACGUG